UAUUCAGUCACGUGGACACAGGCCUUAUAAAGGGGGGUCAUUUCCACACCCUGGUAUCUCGCACUUCUCCAGCCCGCUGAUCUGAUCUAUCGUGAAACUCUAUUGAACAGCAGACAUGAAGUUCGUCGUAAUACUCAUUGUCUUGGCCUGUGUGUGUUCCGUCGUCCUAAGCAAACCUGGCAAAACAGGAUGCAACAACAACAACAACAACAACAACAACAACAACGACGAUUGUGACGAAGGGAUCAAUGAUGACAUAUCUGAAAAAGGCAACGGCAUCGGCUUCGGCAAUUUCAAUAGCAAGAGCAACGGCAACGGCAACGGCAACGGCAACGGCGACUACUGACGUCCAGAAAAUGUUCUACCAGAGAUCUGACAGAUAUGAAACAGUUCCGCAUCUACGGUAAUCGUGCCCGUGAAAUCAUCCCGAUAACAGAAAUAAACAAUUAAUUGAGUCCUGUCAA
Molecule: long non-coding RNA, 464 nt
Organism: Haliotis rubra (blacklip abalone)
Lineage: Eukaryota; Metazoa; Mollusca; Gastropoda; Lepetellida; Haliotidae
Exons: 3
Source: RefSeq, a predicted model, not a curated record